RNAcentral lists this ribosomal RNA (253 nucleotides) under uncultured bacterium. RNAcentral describes it as "partial 16S ribosomal RNA". It matches the Rfam family "Bacterial small subunit ribosomal RNA", at positions 524 to 776 of the family's 1533-position model. The record is from RNAcentral.
UACGUAGGUGGCGAGCGUUGUCCGGAUUUAUUGGGCGUAAAGGGCGCGCAGGUGGUGUGGUGGGUCCGUCGUGAAAUCUCCCGGCUCAACUGGGAGGGUGCGGCGGAGACUGCCAGACUAGAGGCACUCAGAGGCCGGUGGAAUUCCCGGUGUAGUGGUGAAAUGCGUAGAUAUUGGGAGGAACACCAGUGGCGAAGGCGGCUCACUGGACCGGUACUGACGCUGAUGCGCGAAAGCGUGGGGAGCAAACGGG